GGGAAUCUUCCACAAUGGGCGCAAGCCUGAUGGAGCAACGCCGCGUGUGUGAUGAAGGCUUUCGGGUCGUAAAGCACUGUUGUAUGGGAAGAAAUGCUAAAAUAGGGAAUGAUUUUAGUUUGACGGUACCAUACCAGAAAGGGACGGCUAAAUACGUGCCAGCAGCCGCGGUAAUAA
Molecule: ribosomal RNA, 177 nt
Filed under: uncultured bacterium
Lineage: Bacteria
Description: partial 16S ribosomal RNA
Rfam family: Bacterial small subunit ribosomal RNA
Source: RNAcentral